Molecule: ribosomal RNA, 735 nt
Filed under: uncultured Fusobacterium sp.
Lineage: Bacteria; Fusobacteriati; Fusobacteriota; Fusobacteriia; Fusobacteriales; Fusobacteriaceae
Description: bacterial SSU rRNA
Rfam family: Bacterial small subunit ribosomal RNA
Source: RNAcentral
GAUGAACGCUGACAGAAUGCUUAACACAUGCAAGUCAACUUGAAUUUGGGUUUUUAACUUAGGUUUGGGUGGCGGACGGGUGAGUAACGCGUAAAGAACUUGCCUCACAGCUAGGGACAACAUUUGGAAACGAAUGCUAAUACCUAAUAUUAUGAUAAUAGGGCAUCCUAUAAUUAUGAAAGCUAUAAGCGCUGUGAGAGAGCUUUGCGUCCCAUUAGCUAGUUGGAGAGGUAACGGCUCACCAAGGCGAUGAUGGGUAGCCGGCCUGAGAGGGUGAUCGGCCACAAGGGGACUGAGACACGGCCCUUACUCCUACGGGAGGCAGCAGUGGGGAAUAUUGGACAAUGGACCAAGAGUCUGAUCCAGCAAUUCUGUGUGCACGAUGAAGUUUUUCGGAAUGUAAAGUGCUUUCAGUUGGGAAGAAAUAAAUGACGGUACCAACAGAAGAAGUGACGGCUAAAUACGUGCCAGCAGCCGCGGUAAUACGUAUGUCACGAGCGUUAUCCGGAUUUAUUGGGCGUAAAGCGCGUCUAGGUGGUUAUGUAAGUCUGAUGUGAAAAUGCAGGGCUCAACUCUGUAUUGCGUUGGAAACUGUAUAACUAGAGUACUGGAGAGGUAAGCGGAACUACAAGUGUAGAGGUGAAAUUCGUAGAUAUUUGUAGGAAUGCCGAUGGGGAAGCCAGCUUACUGGACAGAUACUGACGCUGAAGCGCGAAAGCGUGGGUAGCAAACAGG